CAGAGCAGGGAGACCCAAGCGGUCUACUUCCGAGGCGGGCCCUUCCCCGUGGCUGAGGCAGGGAGGGUCUCCUCAUGAGGACGUGGCUCUGCGACUUUACUUUCACUGGAAACGGAAGCCGUCUGUGUUUCCACCUUGCAUGCUUGUGGGGGGAUGUAGGGGCAGCGUCUGGUAUGCUGACCCCAGCCAUCGACGUGAGACGCUGGCCCUGCAGUGCAGCCCAGCCCCUCAGUGGUGAAUCAGUGCAUUGUGGACACAGGUACCAAUGUCCCCUUUGCUUUCUUUUUAUGAAGAACUCUGUCUUUUAGGGAUUGUACUUACAUGCUACUGUCAGGGAGAUCUUCCACCCAUCUCAGGAACUGAAGGAUAAAUACUCAGCAACGUUUCAGCACAGUUGCCUCUUUUGUUUGUUAUAAAACAAAAUACAGCGGGCCAGUUUCCCAGCCGGUAGAAAAAUGCCUGUGUCUUGAUAGAAAUAGGCUUCGGUUUCAUGCAAAGGAAAUUUGAGCGAGGACAGGGCACACAGUCUGUACACAGCAGUUCCACGGUGCUGUGAUCGCUCUAAUAUUC
This 570-nucleotide long non-coding RNA is filed under the name Bos indicus x Bos taurus (hybrid cattle). RNAcentral describes it as "lncRNA (ENSBIXG00005014366.1)". The record is from RNAcentral. Lineage: Eukaryota; Metazoa; Chordata; Mammalia; Artiodactyla; Bovidae.